This is a long non-coding RNA of Carassius gibelio (silver crucian carp), 569 nucleotides long. RefSeq lists it as uncharacterized. The record is from RefSeq and is a predicted model, not a curated record. The transcript is spliced from 3 exons. NCBI's taxonomy places the organism in Eukaryota, Metazoa, Chordata, Actinopteri, Cypriniformes, Cyprinidae.
UUCAAUAUUUCCUUUGUGAGUUAAUAAUGCAUGCUUUACAGGAAUAGGUUAUCUGUAUGUUUUUUAACCUUUAAUCUCACUGAAUUUUCUCCAGAAAAGUGUUUUAGACAGUUGGACUGGAGGGAAAAGUAACACCACAACAAGCCCCAAAAAAAGUAGGACAACUUAAAAAAGAAAUAUAAGGAGCUGAAAAACUCACCAACUGGUUCAGGGGUGGACAAGGGAGAGGAUACAGCUUCAUCAUGGCCCUGGUUCACCCUAAUGUAUAAGGCUUCGGGUCAGAAGCAUUCAGUUACUCCUUCAGUGCUGCUUGCCUCAGUGUCCCAGGCCUCUUCCACCUGUAGUGAGCCGGGGACUUCAAAUGAGAGCCUGAACCAAGCAGACAAAGGGCUGUUGUGCCACUCCUCUUGAAGGUUGCUUGAAGGGUAUCAACGGCAAUGGGCCUCUCCAAACAGAGUUUGCCUCCAUCACCCAGGAGGAAGUGUCCUGGUGGUGGACAUGCCCCACUGCGAUACAGGGGGCUGUGUCGGAGGACUCUGGAGUCGUGCACCAGAGCCAGGAAAGCCAAA